RNAcentral lists this ribosomal RNA (438 nucleotides) under Capnocytophaga sp. oral taxon 336. Its description in RNAcentral is "bacterial SSU rRNA". It matches the Rfam family "Bacterial small subunit ribosomal RNA", at positions 28 to 465 of the family's 1533-position model. The record is from RNAcentral. Lineage: Bacteria; Pseudomonadati; Bacteroidota; Flavobacteriia; Flavobacteriales; Flavobacteriaceae.
GAUGAACGCUAGCGGCAGGCCUAACACAUGCAAGUCGAGGGGGAGGUUACUUUCGGGUGACUGAGACCGGCGUACGGGUGCGUAACGCGUAUACAAUCUGCCUUUCACUGGGGGAUAGCCCGAAGAAAUUUGGAUUAAUACCCCAUAGUAUAUAGGGACGGCAUCGUUUUUAUAUUAAAGCUACGGUGGUGAAAGAUGAGUAUGCGUUCUAUUAGCUAGUUGGAGAGGUAACGGCUCCCCAAGGCGAUGAUAGAUAGGGGUUCUGAGAGGGAUGUCCCCCACACUGGUACUGAGAUACGGACCAGACUCCUACGGGAGGCAGCAGUGAGGAAUAUUGGACAAUGGUCGGAAGACUGAUCCAGCCAUGCCGCGUGCAGGAUGAAGGUCUUAUGGAUUGUAAACUGCUUUUGUAAGGGAAGAAUAAGGGCUACGCGUAGU